AGUUUCGGUGUCGAAUUCACUUUGUCAUAUACGUUUACUUGUUAUGCGGGGAACACUGGGCUCACUAUAAAUACGAGAACACCUCCUCAUCCAAGUCAUUAGCGACAAGCAUUCGACAACUCCACUUCAAGGAAAACUAAGAUAAUCAUCAUGAAAACUUCAACCGUUGAAGAUGAUGAGAAGUUAAAACAAUUCGAUGGCAUCACGUGACUGUAUCACGUGGUGUCGUUUGAUAACUACCAGCUGAUGCAGGUUGUAUGAACAACUGAUGUAGUGAAAGAAACAAGAAACAAACCAGCUGCAAAUAAUGAGGCAGCGAAUUCGAUAAACGGAGAAACAAACGAAAGAUGACGUUUUCAUUCUCGAUGAAAAUCAACUUUGACACCGCCUGUAUAUGAGGCGGUGAGUAGGAAGAAAUAUCUUUGACUUGGCUUCUCAUGUUGAGCCAUCAACUUUUACAUCGACGACGUUCAUUCUAAUGAUGAACAUUUUCAACAACAGCGACAUAGGUUAUGCUGACUUUGCGUUUCGACAAGUUUGCAGAGUGCAAACUCUCACAACUACGCAGCAAAUUAUCUGCUGUUAGAAUGUAUUUUAUUUGACAGAAGUAACAUCAGUUACUCAAUUGUAUUUUUGACUUGAUAUACUCCGUUUAUUGACAAAUGCUGAAAUUCUCAGCUGAAACUUUGUAUUUAUUCUUCCGACUUUCAUGUUUCCACACGUGACUCGACUUAUCGACAUUGUAAUUUUUAUAAUUACGUAAAAACACAAUGACCGACCGAAAGGUGGCAAAAUAACGACAACACCAGAAAGGGUGUUUGAAAUCGUGUUGUAACAUGUUCUUGUUGUUGUGUGAUUGUUUUGUAGUUUUUGACGAAAGCUCGACAUAUGUUAAGGUAAUAAAAUACAGCCCAA
Molecule: long non-coding RNA, 915 nt
Organism: Ciona intestinalis (vase tunicate)
Lineage: Eukaryota; Metazoa; Chordata; Ascidiacea; Phlebobranchia; Cionidae
Source: RefSeq, a predicted model, not a curated record